Long non-coding RNA from Pseudopipra pipra, 10298 nucleotides. RefSeq lists it as uncharacterized. The record is from RefSeq and is a predicted model, not a curated record. The transcript is spliced from 7 exons. NCBI's taxonomy places the organism in Eukaryota, Metazoa, Chordata, Aves, Passeriformes, Pipridae.
CGGCGGGGGGGCGCGGACUACACUUCCCGGCACGCUCCGCGGGAGCGGGGGGGACCCCCCACCCCACCCCUCCGCCAGCCUCUACUGCUGGUUCCCCCCCAUCCCCGCCGCCUCCCUCAGCGCGGCGGGGUUCGAGCUGCCGCCCGCUGCAGGCAGCGCCGCCGUGAGGGGCUGCCCCGCCACCGGGCCCUGCCGUUACCUGGGAGAGCCGGGGCUAUUUUUAACCUGGAUGUGUUCUGUGAUUUGUUUCCCACACAGCAUUGAAACUGGCACAGCUGAGGGGUUGGCGGCAAUGAAGUUGCACCAAGAAGUCCAAGAGCAAUCAGGAGAGACUUCAGGGCUUCAGGAUGGUUGCUUAAGGGGUCAGGAGCACAGAUGCUUAAAAUACCAAGACUUUUUCUUUUCCAGCUAUCUAAAUAAUUUUCCCUGUGAACUGAACUGCUUCCUCUGGAUAAUACACUGUUUUUCUAUCUGCUGGAGAGGUGGAGUCCCCCUGAAUGUACUGCUGUUCUGCAUAACCAGGAACUGUCUCCUGAACACAGAGUAAGACAGAACAGCUUGGACUUAGCAGUCCUGUGAGAUUUACAAAUCAAACCAGCUAAUCAAGAUUUAAAACAGCUCUGGAUUGAAAAGACUAGCAAGUGGUCCAGCUGUGAGUUAAUUCAUUAGUUGCAGUAAAUAUCACUAGAAGAGCUUGUCAAAAGGAAAUGUGAAGCAGCUGAAAAGAAUCAUCCUUAAAGUGAAUGUCAUAGGCUUUUGCAGCUGUCAUCCAGUGGACUGGAGAUUCCAGGCAUUGGAGAGAAAAUGAGGGUGAAAGAAAUAAAAAUUUGAGUACAGAGGAUAAAGUACUAGUUCCCACUGAGUGAUUAUAAAGGAAGCAAUCUUACCACUACAGGGACCUAAUUAGAGACUGAAUCUCACAACUGUCUAAUGUCUCCUCCAGGACUCUGAGAAACCUGAACGAGCUAACACAGUCCACUCAGACCAGCAGCACUAGGCUAGCCCUGCUGCUUCAGGGCACACUGGAAUGCCACAUUUAUGUAGCUGUGGGCAUUUUCCAGUGUUCUUGUGUCCUGUUCAGCACUCGCUUAGAACCAAAGCAGCAACAUUGUUUUCUUGCCUGGCCAGCACAGCAUCAUCUUGGUCCUACAGAAGGCAACAAUGGGCUUCUACUGCCACAUACCUGAGUAUCCCUAAGGAAAGGCAUUGUACCCAUUGUACCAGGCAAAUAUAAGAGUUAGUUGUCAGCAUUAACAAAAGAGAAUUUCACAUUUCUAUGACUGAUCUGAUGAAUCACUACUUUUCUUGCUCCCCAAAAUGUGUAGAUCAGGUGUGAGUCCUCAGGCCUUCCUGGAGUCACCAGUGCUGUCAGUCAGGGCUUGCGUGUAUCAAUUCGCUUAAGCCUGGGUGCAGGGCUCAGCUCUCCCACCUUGAUCCACCUACUGCUUGUCUGAGACACUGUCACCCUUCUUUCCAUCCUUGUGGAAAUGUGGAAACACUGGCCAUAGUUUGAGGCUAACCUUUGGCAGCAAUGCCCACUGCUUCUCUAGCUUCUCCUUCCAACUUCUGAGCUGCAUCACCUCAUCAUUGAUGUGCCAAGCAGGGAACUCCCUGACUUAGGUUUUUUCUUUGGUGAUUUCUUCUAAGCAGCAACAAGUUUUUACUAGAUUCUAUUUAUGACUGAUCAUUUCUGGACCCUGGUCCUCGAUAUUUCCCUCCUGGUGCAAGGAAGCGCUGUGACAGCAAGUAGCCAUGCUCUGGGGUCAGCAGUGGGGUGAGCAAGGAGGAAUUUUUUUGCCUGGUAUUGCCAUGAAAGGCACGUUUAAUGUAACCCUGUCCCCACAGAGUGAUUCUGUGCAGGUGAGGCUUCAGGGAAGUACAAGGAUCUCUUCCAGUAUUACUGCUACUAGCAGUCACAUUUUUCUGUAGCAGGAUUUUCCAGGCAUAGGGAAGGUCUGUGCCUUCUGAGACCACUCAGGUAGUUCAGUGCUCCUGGGAAGAAGAGGGAUUACUGCACAGGUGCAUCGUGUUUGCAGGGACAGUGGUUUAGAGGUCUCUUCUGAAGAUGGGAGGAGGUAAGUGACCUGCCCAGAGAGAGCUCAGCCAAUAUCUGACAAGGACAUUUUCAUAACCAAGAUAAAUAAACAGAUGCCUUUUUUGCUCUAGGGAGAUAAUUUCUUCUUUGCUACUAGCCUGAGACCAUUCACUUGGCUUAUCCUGUAUCUUUGCCAUAUGAAACAAGCCUGAACCAUUUCAUUUGAGGUUGUUAUUUAUUUGGGUCAAUAUGAAACAUUUCUGGCAUUUCUUUUCCAUUUUCCCGCCUUUAUAUGUUGCUGUCUUCACUCCUGUGUAUAUGUUUUCUUCUCUAAUAUCUCAGUUCUCCUCUCUUGUAAUAUUUUAAAUUCUUAAUUGCUUGAUGCUGCAAAUGGAGAGUAUUAGUUACCUUCCAUGACCACUCUGACCACAAUGACUUCCUUUGCUUGACAAGCUGAUUAAUUUGUCAAGUUGAAUGUUUAAGUCUGUCUGGAGUAUCUCUGUGUAUCUUGUGCAAGCUUGCAGUUGCAAUUUUGUUCUUUAUUGGACAUGCUGUUUCUUCAGACACAGAAUACCUCUGAGGGGCUUUUCUUCCCCCACUUCCCUACUGAGAGUGAUGCUCCUGCAGUUUAUACCAAUGAUCAUAUCCUGCAUGUCCCCUAGAAGAGGGUAAACAGCAGGUGCAGCACGGAAGCCAUAGCAUCAGCAGUGCUUUCAGAUUGUCCAGUGGAUAUAAUUGAGGGAAAAUAGCAAAACUCAAGUAAAUUAAAUGCAUUUCAUAGCAGUUCCUGAGGGAGAACAGACUGCAUUGUUUGUGAGCUUCAAUCCAGGUCAAGCAGGCCAGAUCUUCCACAGAGAAGUUGCUGACUUUGGCCCCAAAAUAUCAUUGUUAAGGUAAGAAAAACAUCCAAAUUUCUCUUAAUUUUUCCUAGUUGGUACAUUAUAAAGGCAUUCAGACCACUGUAGACAUAAGCAUUCAGGAAACAACACUAAGCAACACAAAGAACAAAAAACAGUAGGUACUUCCUGAGAAGUUUGGAAAACUGACUCUUAUGCCACUGAGGGAGGGUAAGUCCUAAUAGCUACAGUAGCCACAUGUCACCUGGGACCAGAGUGUGAAUGAUUCUUUUGUAAUAUUACUUGGUGAAUGUAUCAACAUCUUGAGCUCAUUGCAGAAGAGAAAAGAAAAAGCUGGACAGUGUUAUUUUCUGGUGGCACUGGAACAUUAAUUUCUCUGUGAUGGUAUCCAACUGUCUUGGAUAUCUGAGCAGGCAGGUCAAAGGAAAGCAAUGUGUAGACUUGAUUUUCGAAAGCACCUUUUUCCAGUAAGUAUGAACUUAUUUUCUUUUAGGAAUAAUAUUUUUUCCUGGCAUAUUGUAACAGAAAUAAUAAAAUAAACAAAAGCAUGGUAUACUUGUAAGAUGAACCUCAGAGCUAUACCGGGCAAGAAGCUGUCUCAAGGCAGCCUUCGUUUCCCCAGGGACUUUCCCCAGCCACUCCCUGCCCUGGGCUAGUGUGCUGGGAUGCCCUGUCCUGUCCUGUCCUGGGCUCCCCCCUGUUCUGUAGCUCUGAGCCCUGCCACUUCCUGUCCUCGGAAAGGCAGAGGUGGUGGAGCAGGCUCCCAGCAGCUACAGAGGUGCAGAGGUCUCCAUCAGGGUAUCUCCUUGCAGGAGAUGGAGAAGACACCUCUGCCACAGGGCUGCACCAGGGGCAGUCACAGGCUUCCCUCUACAGCUGGCAGCACUCUGCUUUUUCCCGUCAUUUAUUAUCUGAUGUCUGUUUUUGUCUGUUUUGUGCUGGCUUUUGGGACACCUCCUUCUUGGGCUGCCAAGGAUGGUGGCAGUGUCCUCACGCCGAGGGUAUUGGCCCCAGCCCUGGGCACAAAGCAUCCAUCCCCACUGCUCGCCUGACCCUCCCCUUGAGACCUACUUUUGCUGGGAGAAACAAGGUAACCUCGCCACUGAAAAUAGCUGGGACGGCAGCCAGUGGAGAUUAAUGGCAUCAUUAACGUUCCCAGUUUAUUUAUAGGCUUAAAAAUGCCUCAGACCUGCAAACUGAGCAGAGUUGUUCUGUGUAACAGGGACUGACAGGUCUCCUGCUUCUGCCUUUCCCCUUCCUACUAUUUCAUUCUGAUUGCUGAGACUAUAAAACCUCCAGAGCAGGGACUGUCUCUCAUUUUGAACCUACUCUGUAAACCUUCCUAAAUGGGGGGAUGCACACAGAUACUUUUUUUUUUUUCCAAGAAUGCUGUAUUUGUCUGGUCUCCUUCCUCCACCAACUCCUUCUGUGCACACUGUGUCCCAUAGCCUUCUUUGGGAAAAUUAUCUUUUUGAUGAAUUCCUGAGGCACGAGCUGAGCAGUUGUCACAGGAAUUUUCUGUGAUUUUCUGCCUUGGGUUUUAAAUUAUGAGCUCUGUAAGAGGAGGACUAAGAUUCUCAUAGCUGUGGAGAGCACCUAGGAUACGUAGGGCCCUAGUGAGACAUGCAGAUGCAAUUAAUGAUCAUGGAGGUCUUUCAACAGGAGCCAGCAGAGGCAACCCAGCUCCCAGGUCCCCCAGGAACCUCAUGGGACUGGCAAGAAAAGAAAAAAACACCUCAGGUGUGUUGGCCCCAGAAGAGGAGUUUUCAGCACGUAACGUGUGGCCACAUUGCCUGGCCUGUUUCCCAGCACUUAGUGAAAGGGGGUGAAAUAAAGAACGGGCAGAGAAUCACUCAAACCACUGUUGUCUUUUUUUUCCCUCUGGGCAAUGAGAAUACUUCAGAGCAGAGUGAAGGAGCCCAAAAUGGUAGAAGGGGAUUUCUCUGCCAUGGCCACAACAGCAUUGCAGGCAGCAAAGGCAUUGCUGUGCUUUUACGAGAAAAAUCAAGAGCGCAAGAGCACAUCUUGAAGUGAAGGCACAUUGUCAAUAAUUAUGCAUGGUUUGGGUUUGUGCUGUCUCGCCACUCAUCCUUGGAUCCUACACCGAGUCCUGACUUUCUUAUGGCACAGAUAAUAACUUAAAAGAAAGAAACCCAACAGAAUUUCCACAAUCUAUAUGUACAGCAUCACACAUGGAAGACAUAACAUUUGAUGGCUGGCGGCUUUGAAAAAAAUCACAGCUCCAUUGUGCUCCAAAGGCAUAUUGAAUGAUUCAGAUGGAAAGAAAAGCCCACGUCAGUAGGAACAGGGGACUCAAAUACGAGCGUAGAGGCCGACAGACCAGAGGCAUCAAUCCCAGGCAGUAGCACAUCCUGGCAAUGCUGCACCCUGUGACAGCACUGACAUUAUGGUUUCCCCCUCUCUGUUGUGGGUGUGUGGAAGGCAGGUGCUGCUCCCGGUAUUAGGGGUGACCCUGAGCAUCCCUGGCACACAGGAAUGGCACUGAUUGCCUGGGGGUGGUGGGGCAGCAGAACAACACUCCUGUCCUACCUGGGGAGCACAGAUCCAGCCUCCAGCAGCUGGGGGGGAGGUGAACUCACUACUUCCUCCUGGAGCAGGGCUGGCAGCAGUGGAUGUCAGGCAGGGCAGGAGGAAGGGAGUAGGGUCACCACCGAGUGACCCCUAGCAGAGGCAGAACCUCAGUGCUCCUGCAUGGAAUCAGAGCAUGAAGUGCUAGAGAUGUUGUUGCUGUCACUGAACAGCAAAUGCUCCCCAAAAAUAGAUAAUUUCCUUCUUCCACCUCAAAGGAAACAGUGUUGGAAGGAGUCUCAGUCAUAGCUGGGCUGGUGCAAGGAAGGGUCCCUGCCAUAGGUGGGUUUACUGGCAGCCUCCUACUUGGAGACUGUUACACCUCCUGGCGUGUGACUCUCGGACCAGCCAUCAGUCCCAGGCAGGAUCCAAGGGGUUAGUCCUGUGAAAUGCCCUGACACCCACAUGGGUGCUGUGCCUCUCAACCCCUGCCCCAGAGCACAAACCCACCAGCACUUUGCCACCGGUGGGUGACAAAGCAAACCCAAAGCCUUCAGUCCCAAAAACCUGCUGUUAGAGCUGCUCCUGUGCUGAGGGGCUCAGGCUGUGAUCAGUCCUCACCUGCAUUUCCCAGUUCCAGUUUUACAUUUUAGUAGUAGUUCACAGCACCUUCCUUAUUGGCAGGCAUCAGUAGAAAUGCGUGUCAACAAAACCGAAGCGAGCGUAAGCGCCGCUGCAGACAAGUCUGAUAAUAAAAUAUGAGUCACUGUUAUUCAAUCAUUUACCAGCGCACGUUCUACAACAAAGUUCUCUAGGAUCACCACCACACAAAUUUGAGAGGUUUUUUUUAAAGAGAACUGUGAUUUUACUUUCAACUGCGUAGCUGAGUCUUGAGAGGGCUGGUGCCUGUUAUCCCUGCUUGCGGCCCGGUGCUCUGCUCCCUGUGCAUCUGACAUUUUCAAGCCAGGCGUGCGGCACCAAGCCCUGGCACGACCCACGACUUGUGCUCGGCAUGGUGUGGCCAUAGGCAAGAGCUCCACACCGUCCUUCCUCCUGGCAGUUUUCAUGCCUCCCCAGCACCAGGAGCGAACUGGCAGCAAGGCAGGGGCUGCCAGGGCAACCCCCCACUCCAGUUGCCAUCGGUGGCCCUGCACUGCUGCACACCUUCAUCAUCUGUAAUGCCACUGGCUGGUGUUUAGGGGAUAGGCAUUUUCCCCCUGGGCUGGGAUGGGUUUUAAUUUUUGGUAACAAAUGCACUUGACAAACAUGGCAGCACGCGUCCUUAGUUUCCCCUCUGUAAGCCUAAUUUUUUGAAUGGCAUCUUGCAAAAAGCAUUUAAAUGGUGACCUCUUGCUGCUGUAAGAUAUGUGGGGAGAUGGUCUUUACAGGCAUUCAAGCUGUAGUGCUUGGUCUUUCUUGUUUUUACCAGGGAACUUUUGGGAGGUCAGAAAUAUAGGAAUUGAGGUUUUGCUGCCUUAACAGGUGAAGGGCUGCUGGAAGCAUGCGGAUGAACUUCCUUUGUGCCAAAUGACUCUCAUUUAAGUCAAACACUUUUUAACAAUAGAAGCAAGAUUUUAAAAGGGUGUAGCUAAAAACCCCCACAUUUGCUUGUCCUCCUUGCUCUGUGCUGCUGUGCCUCUUGCCGCUUAGCUUGAUCUUGAGCACUCCUGCUGCAGGGAAGGCUUGAGCUUCUGAUGUGGCAAACAGGUAGACUAAGCUAAUUUAGCACUUAAGUCUUUUAUUCCAUCGUAAAGUGGGAAAAGGGAAGGCUCUUCUCUCUUGCGGGUCACCUCUAAUAGCAAUUGCUUCAGCAAGAUGGAUUUCAAAAUUAGGUGCUCUUGAAGCAGAAGCCACAGUGUAUUUUUCAGCAGCGCAAAGCAGCCGUAAGAGCAAUCUGACCUUCAUUCUUCAUAAUAAAUUCAUUGGGGAAAAAAAUCCAUCUUUGUUUUUCAGCUUGAAGUACUGUCAAAAGAAAAGCCGGGGCACGACAUAUACAAAAUAAAAAGUACAAGACAACUUCAGCAAAAUGAUAAAAAACUCUCAGAGAUUUGCUUUUCCUGUUUUUUCUUAUUCCAAUAUCGGAAGAAAGUCUGACAGCUUGUCUACAAGUACAUUAUUUUGGAAUAAAGGCUGGUGUUAAUUUAAAGUGAAUCUAUUCUAGACUAAAUUAAUACCAUCUCAAAAGUGGUUUUCAGAUGUAGGGUGCAAUCCAGUAGCAAAGUCUGAGGAAAACACAUACCCACACUUAGGUACCACGUUGGACUAACACAUUUGUAAAACAUCCCUUAAUGUAUUUCAGGUGCUAAAAUAAUGUCUACUGCAGCCUGACAAAGGAAAAUGGCACACACUGUUAUUUUCUUCUAAAGCAGCCCCAAAAAGAUGUGAUCUGUAGUCAAGGGCAGACCUGUAAGCUAAAGAAUAUCAUAAAGCAAUGUUGUUUGACAGUAUUUGGCAUUUUUCUGUUAUUAAUGAAACAAUUGAUACAUUUGAGUCCUAAAAGCCUGUAGCUGGUCAGUUGCUAAUGGUACAGCAUGGAAACGGUGAAAAUUAAUCAUCUCUGGUAUUAAAUACUAUCUUUGUAUUUUGCCAUGUCUCUGUUACAGACACUGUAUUGAAUAACACAUUAUAACCCAACACAGCACAUUGUCUUUAUUCCUUUAAUCUCCUGUCAGGCAUAGCUGGGAAGGCAGAAUGGGAAUGUUUACUCUAACUAACAGGUCUAACCCUUAGGCUAGCAAGAAUUAGGAGAGGUUUUUUCCAAGCUGGGCUUGUCACCCAUCUAGAGAACCUAAUGCUGUGGCUGCAGUCUGCCUGGCUGCUCUUCUGGAGGAGUCAGUCAAAUCCAUCUUGCCACUUUCUAGCAAGCCUAAACCCAGCUAUUACUCAGCCCUUCUCCUCCUUCACGAUGGGCUGGUUACACUGAUAAAAGCAGCUGUGAAGAGACUCAGUGUCGGCAGUGCCAACAGCACCCUAAUUAGGCUGCAGAAAUCAGCCACUUUAUACCCAUUAGUUUAGCUUCGCAGGGGCCCAUCUGCCUGGACAGAAACUUUUUGUGAAAUUAGCUCAACUUUUUACUACGUCUGGUGUGAUUGCUGAAAGCUCGGCAGAAGAGAUGAACGCUGCCUCUGUUUAGUUAAACCAGUUUAGAGUGUACCUAGAAAGCAAGUGGCUGCAGCUGUACCUCCUUUCAGGACCAACUUGAGAUAAACAGCCAUAAAAUCAUUCUGGCUCCAUUUGGCAUUCAAGGUAUCAUUACUACCACUUAUUAACAUUCAAGUUCUCUCCAGACCAAAACAUUUUUGUUGUUUAGAACAGGAAAAGCCUUUUUUCUCCUCUACAUCAGGCAUUUAGCAUUUAUGUGAAGGUUAAACGUGUAGGAAAUGCUUUUUUACUGUUUUGACAGUGAUGCCAGUGCUGUCUAAUUCCCUUGUAGGCAACCACUGCCUAAACAAUUGCAAUUUCACUGCUCAUUAUUCCCCAGAAAGCAGUCACUUUUAAAGAUCAAGGGGAGGUAUAUUCAAGCUCAAAUGUCAGUAGUAACUGACCUCAGAUCAAGGAAUCUUGGAAUGGUCAAGUCUGACCUAUCUGUGUCAAGAAUCAGAGUUUUGACCAAGAGGAUUAUUUAAGUGCUGGUGCUGCUCCCACCCAACAUCAGCCUCUGCAGCACGAAACAGGCAGUUCUAGCAUUUAUAGUUAUUGUAUUACCUACCCUCUUCAGCCUUGACACACUUUAUCAAUGUUCUAACCCCAAAGACAAGGCAUAGGCCACGCCUGGCCGCCAGGUAAACACCCGCUACUUUUUUAAGUUCAGCUGAAUCCUCUAGGUUACUUCUUGUCAGCAUCAAGCACUGAGAACAAUGGCACAAGACUAUAGGGAUCUCAUUUAGUAUGUUUGUUCCAAGAACAAGAAAUGUGUCUACUUUCCUCUGAUGACCUGGGGAAACAAAAAAACCCUUCAGCACAGAAAAUUUGUCAUCAGUUACGAGCAUUUGAAUGUGUAAUAUCCAGUUUAAGGAGAAAAAAAAAGUCUGUCUGUCCUAAGCUUUCUAUAUUGAGACCUUGCAAACAGCAUUAUUCUUCUGCUUGAAACAGAAAGCAGGAAUGUACAUAUCUGAGAACACCAACACACAAAAAACCCCCAAAUCCUUCGGAUAUUAAGUGAGCCAUUUAACUUAAGUAUUUAAAACCUCUGCAAUUAUUAGUUUAUUAGUAUCAUCCAGGAUUUCAGAUGUUCAAUAUUUCUCCUGAAGUUAUACAUAAAUGCAAAUUGAAAUAAGAAUCUGAAAGUCAAAAUUGUAUAACAAAACAAUACUCCAUCACAAAAGCGUGUAAAAUUACAAGAAUGCUUUUUUUUUUUUUUAAACACUGGCACUUAAGAGAACCAUAAUUUUGUAACCACAAAAUUGCCAAAUUGUCCCCCAAACUGGUAAGCAGGUAUAUGUGAAAAUAGUUACAGCUGCCAGCACUUGAAGUUUUACUAAAUAUGCAAAAAACCCCUUAGCUUUGGUUUUGGAAGAGAACUGUAUUUGACCAAAUUAGACAUUGUUGGUAUACCAUAAACAUUUAACUUUUUAAUGCAAAAUUUAAUAAAAUGUACUUUUCCAUACAACUAUAUUUAACUUAAAAAUGGGCAAACAUCAAGAGUGCGGUAUAAAACCUAACAGGAAAAAUACAUCUUAUCUCAUUUUCAAUUUGAGACAAUAUACAACUUUUUUUAAAGGGCUAAAACUAGAAUUUCAAGAAUACAAAUAUGAAUUUACAUAGAUUUAACAAAUAAUAAUGGUAUCAUUUAUAGAAAUCUUAGAAAGAAAAUUCAUUUCUUGUGGGCCAUUUGCUACCAGGAGUUUCAUGGUAUAAAGCCCGUGGCCAUCACCAGA